UCUUCCGCAAUGGACGAAAGUCUGACGGAGCAACGCCGCGUGAGUGAUGAAGGUUUUCGGAUCGUAAAACUCUGUUGUUAGGGAAGAACAAGUACCGUUCGAAUAGGGCGGCACCUUGACGGUACCUAACCAGACAGCCAUGGCUAACUACGUGCCAGCAGCCGCGGGAAUACGUAGGUGGCAAGCGUUGUCCGGAAUUAUUGGACGUAAAGCGCGCGCAGGCGGUUUCUUAAGUCUGAUGUGAAAGCCCCCGGCUCAACCGGGGAGGGUCAUUGGAAACUGGGGAACUUGAGUGCAGAAGAGGAGAGUGGAAUUCCACGUGUAGCGGUGAAAUGCGUAGAUAUUGGAAGGAACACCAGUGGCGAAGGCGACUCUCUGGUCUGUAACUGACGCUGAGGCGCGAAAGCGUGGGGAGCGAACAG
Molecule: ribosomal RNA, 422 nt
Filed under: uncultured bacterium
Lineage: Bacteria
Description: bacterial SSU rRNA
Rfam family: Bacterial small subunit ribosomal RNA
Source: RNAcentral